GAUGAACGCUGGCGGCGUGCCUAAUACAUGCAAGUCGAGCGAACGGACGAGAAGCUUGCUUCUCUGAUGUUAGCGGCGGACGGGUGAGUAACACGUGGAUAACCUACCUAUAAGACUGGGAUGACUUCGGGAAACCGGAGCUAAUACCGGAUAAUAUUUUGAACCGCAUGGUUCAAAAGUGAAAGACGGUCUUGCUGUCACUUAUAGAUGGAUCCGCGCUGCAUUAGCUAGUUGGUAAGGUAACGGCUUACCAAGGCAACGAUGCAUAGCCGACCUGAGAGGGCGAUCGGCCACACUGGAACUGAGACACGGUCCAGACUCCUACGGGAGGCAGCAGUAGGGAAUCUUCCGCAAUGGGCGAAAGCCUGACGGAGCAACGCCGCGUGAGUGAUGAAGGUCUUCGGAUCGUAAAACUCUGUUAUUAGGGAAGAACAUAUGUGUAAGUAACUGUGCACAUCUUGACGGUACCUAAUCAGAAAGCCACGGCUAACUACGUG
Molecule: ribosomal RNA, 497 nt
Filed under: uncultured bacterium
Lineage: Bacteria
Description: partial 16S ribosomal RNA
Rfam family: Bacterial small subunit ribosomal RNA
Source: RNAcentral